RNAcentral lists this ribosomal RNA (415 nucleotides) under Brucella anthropi. RNAcentral's name for it is "bacterial SSU rRNA". It matches the Rfam family "Bacterial small subunit ribosomal RNA", at positions 30 to 493 of the family's 1533-position model. Lineage: Bacteria; Pseudomonadati; Pseudomonadota; Alphaproteobacteria; Hyphomicrobiales; Brucellaceae. The record is from RNAcentral.
CGAACGCUGGCGGCAGGCUUAACACAUGCAAGUCGAGCGCCCCGCAAGGGGAGCGGCAGACGGGUGAGUAACGCGUGGGAACGUACCUUUUGCUACGGAAUAACUCAGGGAAACUUGUGCUAAUACCGUAUGUGCCCUUCGGGGGAAAGAUUUAUCGGCAAAGGAUCGGCCCGCGUUGGAUUAGCUAGUUGGUGAGGUAAAGGCUCACCAAGGCGACGAUCCAUAGCUGGUCUGAGAGGAUGAUCAGCCACACUGGGACUGAGACACGGCCCAGACUCCUACGGGAGGCAGCAGUGGGGAAUAUUGGACAAUGGGCGCAAGCCUGAUCCAGCCAUGCCGCGUGAGUGAUGAAGGCCCUAGGGUUGUAAAGCUCUUUCACCGGUGAAGAUAAUGACGGUAACCGGAGAAGAAGCCC